RNAcentral lists this small nucleolar RNA (82 nucleotides) under Lachancea thermotolerans CBS 6340. Lineage: Eukaryota; Fungi; Ascomycota; Saccharomycetes; Saccharomycetales; Saccharomycetaceae. The record is from RNAcentral.
UGAAUGAUGAUUGAACAAAAACAAAGCUGGAAUUACUGGCUGAACGAUUAUAUGUUGAUACGUUUUUGCACUACUUCUGACU